GCCAUCUUAGCUCAGGGGUAGAGCAACGGUUUCGUAAACCGUAGGUCCCGGGUUCAAUUCCCGGAGAUGGCUCCA
This 75-nucleotide transfer RNA is filed under the name Lysobacterales bacterium. RNAcentral's name for it is "Xanthomonadales bacterium tRNA-Thr". It matches the Rfam family "tRNA". Rfam says of the family: Transfer RNA (tRNA) molecules are approximately 80 nucleotides in length. Their secondary structure includes four short double-helical elements and three loops (D, anti-codon, and T loops). The record is from RNAcentral. Lineage: Bacteria; Pseudomonadati; Pseudomonadota; Gammaproteobacteria; Lysobacterales.